UUACCUACGGGUGGCUGCAGUGGGGAAUUUUGGACAAUGGGGGCAACCCUGAUCCAGCCAUUCCGCGUGAGUGAAGAAGGCCUUCGGGUUGUAAAGCUCUUUCGGCAGGAACGAAACGGCUCGCUCUAACAUAGCGGGCUACUGACGGUACCUGAAGAAGAAGCACCGGCUAACUACGUGCCAGCAGCCGCGGUAAUACGUAGGGUGCGAGCGUUAAUCGGAAUUACUGGGCGUAAAGCGUGCGCAGGCGGCUUUUUAAGCCAGAUGUGAAAUCCCCGGGCUUAACCUGGGAACUGCAUUUGGAACUGGAAGGCUAGAGUGCGGCAGAGGGGGGUAGAAUUCCACGUGUAGCAGUGAAAUGCGUAGAGAUGUGGAGGAAUACCGAUGGCGAAGGCAGCCCCCUGGGUCGACACUGACGCUCAUGCACGAAAGCGUGGGGAGCAAACAGGAUUAGAUACCCUAGUAGUCA
Molecule: ribosomal RNA, 469 nt
Filed under: uncultured beta proteobacterium
Lineage: Bacteria; Pseudomonadati; Pseudomonadota; Betaproteobacteria
Description: bacterial SSU rRNA
Rfam family: Bacterial small subunit ribosomal RNA
Source: RNAcentral